Molecule: ribosomal RNA, 440 nt
Filed under: uncultured bacterium
Lineage: Bacteria
Description: partial 16S ribosomal RNA
Rfam family: Bacterial small subunit ribosomal RNA
Source: RNAcentral
CCUACGGGCGGCAGCAGUAGGGAAUAUUGCUCAAUGGGGGAAACCCUGAAGCAGCAACGCCGCGUGGAGGAUGAAGGUUUUCGGAUUGUAAACUCCUUUUGUUAGAGAAGAUAAUGACGGUAUCUAACGAAUAAGCACCGGCUAACUCCGUGCCAGCAGCCGCGGUACUACGGAGGGUGCAAGCGUUACUCGGAAUCACUGGGCGUAAAGAGCGCGUAGGCGGGUUAGCAAGUCAGAUGUGAAAUCCUAUGGCUUAACCAUAGAAUUGCAUUUGACACUGUUAUUCUAGAGUAUGGGAGAGGUAGGUGGAAUUCUUGGUGUAGGGGUAAAAUCCGUAGAGAGCAAGAGGAAUACUCAGUGCGAAGGCGACCUGCUAAAACAUAACUGACGCUGAUGCGCGAAAGUGUGGGGAGCAAACAGGAUUAGAUACCCGUGUAGUC